Molecule: ribosomal RNA, 382 nt
Filed under: fungal sp. Cul1_37
Lineage: Eukaryota; Fungi
Description: eukaryotic LSU rRNA
Rfam family: Eukaryotic large subunit ribosomal RNA
Source: RNAcentral
GCAUGUCAGUGAGAGGAGGAUAUGAGACCAACAGCGAUUUCCCAAGUAAUGGGGAGUGAAGCAGCAGCAGCUCUAAUGAAAAAUGUUCAAAACAGGGGGCGAAUUUUAAUUUACAGAGGAUAUUGUUGACGGGGCGCUUUCGGACUUGCCCCGAGCGGGAAAGCAUAAAGGGUGAGAGAAAAGUGAGUUAAACAGCCAAGACAGUGUAAAAAUCGUUACGUGAGUCGCCUAUCAUGGGAAUGGAAAUUCAGUUGGGAGGUAGGGGAGUUGUAAAGGUUAAUAUAGCAAGGCCGGCGAUAGCUUCCUAUUAGAGGUAUGGGAAGCUGAAAAUCAUUUUCAAAUGAGGGUCAGUCUGUACGGGAAAUCAUUGAAAGGGAAGCAG